Molecule: ribosomal RNA, 254 nt
Filed under: uncultured bacterium
Lineage: Bacteria
Description: partial 16S ribosomal RNA
Rfam family: Bacterial small subunit ribosomal RNA
Source: RNAcentral
UACGUAGGUGGCAAGCGUUGUCCGGAUUUACUGGGCGUAAAGAGCGCGCAGGCGGUCGUUCAAGUCGCGUGUGAAAGCCCCCGGCUCAACUGGGGAGGGUCACGCGAUACUGAUCGACUCGAAGGCAGGAGAGGGUAGUGGAAUUCCCGGUGUAGUGGUGAAAUGCGUAGAUAUCGGGAGGAACACCAGUGGCGAAGGCGGCAUCCUGGACCAACACUGACGCUGAGUGAGCGAAAGCCAGGGGAGCAAACGGG